RNAcentral lists this ribosomal RNA (300 nucleotides) under uncultured Arthrobacter sp. RNAcentral's name for it is "bacterial SSU rRNA". It matches the Rfam family "Bacterial small subunit ribosomal RNA", at positions 495 to 795 of the family's 1533-position model. The record is from RNAcentral. Lineage: Bacteria; Bacillati; Actinomycetota; Actinomycetes; Micrococcales; Micrococcaceae.
GGCUAUGUCGGUGCAAGCGGCGUCGGUAAAAACGGGGGUGGAAGGGUUCAAGGGAAUGUCGGGGCGUAAAGCGUACUUAGGUGGGUGGGUAAGUUUGAGGGGAAAGACCCGGGCUUAACUUGGGAAUUGCAUGCAAGACUGCCUUGCUAGAGUGUGGAAGAGGGAAGCGGAAUUCCAGGUGUAGCGGUGAAAUGCGUAGAUAUCUGGAGGAACAUCAGUGGCGAAGGCGGCUUCCUGGUCCAACACUGACACUGAGGUGCGAAAGCGUGGGGAGCAAACAGGAUUAGAUACCCGGUAGUC